AGGCAGGACGGCAAUUGGUCAAAGCAAGUGAUGGGGUCUAGAGCAAGAGGACAGUAAACCUGGGAUGGCUGAGCUUCCCUAGAGAAUCCAUGGCUAAUCGGAGCUUGGCAAACCAACACAGCAUUUCCUGAAAAUGAACGUCCACAAGGAAAUGCUGUGUGAGUGUUUUCCACGGAGAGAGGGUGGCAUCUGCCUCGCUGGAGGGCUGGCAGCACACAGAAUCUGCCUGCAGUGGAUUCUUAAACAUGCAAUCAUGGCUAAUGGGGUGUAAGACAGGAUAAGACUGAGAGCUGCUUGCGGUGAUGGAGAGGCAAGGAGCAGAGGAGGCCAAAGAAGAAGGAGAAGACGCCAUGGGGGAUAAAAUUAUAGGGAGCAUCAAACGCUCAUGAGAGAAGCAACCCAAAUGUCCAACGAUGGGAGAAUGGAUGAACAAGAUGUGGUAUAUACUUGCAAUGGAAUGCUACCCAGCAUUAAAAAGGAAUGGAAUUCGGAUGCCCGCUAUAACAUGGAUGAACCUCGGAAAAUUUUACGCAAAGUGAAAUAAAACAGACACCAAAGGACAAACACGGAAAGAAGCUGAGGGUAGACGCCUUGAAGGAGCCCUGCUCCUGCCUUUUGACCCCUCACUUCUGGGUGUGUGAUGCACACUGCGGUCUCAGGACAGAGGGCACUCCCCCCUGCACCCUCUUCACAUCAGUCAGCAUCUCCAUGGGA
Molecule: long non-coding RNA, 714 nt
Organism: Hippopotamus amphibius kiboko
Lineage: Eukaryota; Metazoa; Chordata; Mammalia; Artiodactyla; Hippopotamidae
Exons: 4
Source: RefSeq, a predicted model, not a curated record